Molecule: ribosomal RNA, 447 nt
Filed under: uncultured bacterium
Lineage: Bacteria
Description: partial 16S ribosomal RNA
Rfam family: Bacterial small subunit ribosomal RNA
Source: RNAcentral
AGCGAACGCUGGCGGCAGGCUUAACACAUGCAAGUCGAACGCCCCGCAAGGGGAGUGGCAGACGGGUGAGUAACACGUGGGAACGUACCCUUUGGUUCGGAAUAACUUGGGGAAACUCAAGCUAAUACCGGAUAAGCCCUUAUGGGGAAAGGUUUACUGCCGAAGGAUCGGCCCGCGUCUGAUUAGCUAGUUGGUGAGGUAAUGGCUCACCAAGGCGACGAUCAGUAGCUGGUCUGAGAGGAUGAUCAGCCACACUGGGACUGAGACACGGCCCAGACUCCUAGGGGAGGCAGCAGUGGGGAAGAUUGGACAAGGGGGGCAACCCUGAUCCGGCCAUGCCGCGUGAGUGAUGAGGGCCUUAGGGUUGUAAAGCUCUUUUACCCGGGACGAUAAGGACUGUACCGGGAGAAUAAGCCCCGGCUAACUUCGUACCAGCAGCCGCGGUAA